Molecule: ribosomal RNA, 876 nt
Filed under: uncultured archaeon
Lineage: Archaea
Description: bacterial SSU rRNA
Rfam family: Archaeal small subunit ribosomal RNA
Source: RNAcentral
GGCUACCGCUAUUGGAGUUCGAUUAAGCCAUGCGAGUCGCGAGUCUUAGGGACUCGGCGUACCGCUCAGUAACACGUGGGUAACCUGCCCUAUGCUGGGGGAUAACCUCGGGAAACUGAGAAUAAUACCCCAUAGUUCACCACGCCUGGAACGGUGGGUGGAUCAAAGCUCCGGCGGCAUAGGAUGGGCCUGCGGCGUAUCAGGUUGUAGGGGGUGUAAUGUACCCUCUAGCCCUCUACGCGUACGGGUGUUGAGAGACAUCGCCCGGAGAUGGAUUCUGAGACACGAAUCCAGACCCCACGGGGUGCAGCAGGCGCGAAAACUUGGCAAUGCGAGCAAUCGUGACCAGGGAACUCCAAGUGCAUCGGGUAAGACCGAUGCUUUUCUUGACUCUUCAAAGGUCUUGGAAUAAGGGGUGGGUAAGGACGGUGCCAGCCGCCGCGGUAAUACCGGCGCCUCAAGUGGUAGUCGCUUUUAUUGGGCCUAAAACGUCCGUAGCCGGUUUGGUACAUUCGUGGGUAAAUCAAGGCGCUCAACGUCUUGAAUUCUGCGAGCACGGCCAGACUUGGGACCGGGUGAGGUGUGGGGUACUCUCAGGGUAGGGGUAAAAUCCUGUCAUCCUGAGAGGACCACCUGUUGCGAAGGCGCCACACUAGAACGGAUCCGACGGUCAGGGACGAAGCCUAGGGGCACGAACCGGAUUAGAUACCCGGGUAGUCCUAGGUGUAAACGCUGUGGACUUGAUGUUGGGAGUGCUCCGAGCACCCUCAGUGUCGAAGCGAAGGUGAUAAGUCCACUGCCUGGGGAGUACGGUCGCAAGGCUGAAACUUAAAGGAAUUGGCGGGGGAGCACUGCAACCUGAGGAUUGUGCGGUUU